CACCGACAGCCGAGACUAGCUCUUCCUUCAGAAUCAAUGGUUAUAUUUGUACAUAGCUUCUGAAGAUCAAUGUAUCCUAUUAUGGUGUCCUCAAAAACAGCAUCUGCCAAUUGAGCUUCAUCAAAAGUGGAGCCUGAUAGUACAGCGUUCUUAAAUACAGCUCCUUGAAGAUUGGCUUUCCCGAAAUUAACCCGAUCUAAAACUGCGUUUGAG
RNAcentral lists this unclassified non-coding RNA (213 nucleotides) under Hevea brasiliensis (rubber tree). Lineage: Eukaryota; Viridiplantae; Streptophyta; Magnoliopsida; Malpighiales; Euphorbiaceae. The record is from RNAcentral.